This is a non-coding RNA of Girardinichthys multiradiatus, 1302 nucleotides long. The record is from the annotation of a RefSeq genome assembly. Lineage: Eukaryota; Metazoa; Chordata; Actinopteri; Cyprinodontiformes; Goodeidae.
UUAAGACCUGAUUUCAUGAACCAAGCAGCACAUUGUUUCCCAGGGCUUCUGCAUAGAUAUAGAUUUUUUCCUUGCUUCUGCAAACAUAUAUGUGUAUCUCUUUGUCUUUCAGACAAGGUUUAUGAGCCUCCGACUCUUAAAGUGUGUUCCUCCACUGACGACAAACAGAGGAGGCUUACUUCUCCUGCUUUGCCAAAGAUUUUUUACCAAAUAAAUAUGAGAUCAGAUGGCUGAAAGAUGAUCAAGAAAUCGCCAGGAGGAUAGAUGAGGUCAACACAUUAUCUCAGGGAAGAAAUGACACAACUGGAACUGUCCUGUACAGUGUUGCAAGUCUGCUCACACUGAAGUCCAGUGAAUGGAGUGAAGAAUCAAAAGUAAUAUGUUUAUUUACGGGAAGAGGGGAACGAAACACAGUAGUCCAGCGGAAUUCAACUGUGUCCAAAAAGGAGAGCACAAGUUCAAAAGUGGGGUGUCCCUUUGCAGAUGCAGAUGUAAGCAUCAUACCUCCCAGAGACGAGAAGAUGUUUGUGAAUGGAAAAGGAACCAUAAUAUGUCAAGUCGCCAUCAAUGAGGGAGGACCUUACACGGUUGUCUGGGAGGACGAGAGUGGAACUGAACUGUUAUCUGAAACUGUGACUAAAGGAUCAAAAAUACAUCAAGCUAAAAUUGAAAUUACCUAUGAGGAAUGGACCAAUGGUGUUAAGCGUACCUGUAUUGUCCAAAGCAACGACUGGUUUGACACAGUGAAGAGAGAGUAUCAAAGCAAUACUGGAGGGGUUUCAAAGCGUCCAUCAGUGUUUAUGUUGACCCCUGUAGAACAAAGUAGAGAAAAUACAUUGAUCCUGACUUGCUAUGUGAAAGACUUCUCUCCUAAGAAUAUUUAUGUGGCUUGGUUGGUGGAUGAUGAAGACGUAGGCACAAAACAUCCAUUCAGUACCACAAAACCUGUGGAAAACAAUGGAUCCUUCUCUGUUUACAGCCAGUUGAUCCUCACAAGAGAUGACUGGGAGCAGACUGAUGUGGUGUACAGCUGUGCUGUUUAUCAUGAGUCACUGGCAAAGUCCUCCAGAUCCAUUGUCAGAUCUACUGGAUACAGAACCAGUGACAAAACCAACGUGGUCAACCUCAGCAUGAACGUCCCUGAAACGUGCAAGGCCUAGUAGAUGUUACGUUGUGUCUGUGCGUCUCCUGUUAAUUAAUUUUUUUUGUUCUUUGAUGUUUGUUGCUUGUGAUUUAAAAUUGUGUUUGUGUGUUUUUAGUGCAAAUUUAAAAUCAAAAUAAAUAAAAAAUAUUCACCAAUUG